GAUGAACGCUGACAGAAUGCUUAACACAUGCAAGUCUUUGGCGAAGCUGUGCUUGCACAGCCUAGCCAAGGCGGACGGGUGAGUAACGCGUAAGGAACUUGCCCUGCAGUCAGGGAUAACAGACGGAAACGACUGAUAAGACCUGGUAAAGUCAGGCGGACUCAUGUCCAGCCUGAUGAAAAGAGAUGCUGCAGGAGAGCCUUGCGUCCUAUUAGCUUGUUGGUGGGGUAACGGCCCACCAAGGCGAUGAUAGGUAGCCGGCCUGAGAGGGUGGACGGCCACAAGGGGACUGAGAUACGGCCCUUACUCCUACGGGAGGCAGCAGUGGGGAAUAUUGGACAAUGGGGGCAACCCUGAUCCAGCAAUUCUGUGUGCACGAUGAAGGUUUUGGAUUGUAAAGUGCUUUCAGCAGGGAAGAAAAAAAUGACGGUACCUGCAGAAGAAGCGACGGCUAAAUACGUG
Molecule: ribosomal RNA, 462 nt
Filed under: uncultured bacterium
Lineage: Bacteria
Description: partial 16S ribosomal RNA
Rfam family: Bacterial small subunit ribosomal RNA
Source: RNAcentral